ACCCCGGGGCCACCAGGACCCACACCCAGGGCCCCCACGUCCCAACUUCUAGGGCCACCAUGUCCUGAAUUUCAGAGCCCCCAUGUCCCAACCAUAGGGCCACCACGUCCCAGGUUUUAGGCCAUUAUGUCCCGAGCUUUAGGGCCCCCAUGUCCCAACCUUAGGGCCCCAUGUCCCAGGUUUUAGGGCCCCCAUGUCCUGAAUUUCAGGGCCACCAUGUCCCAGGUUUUAGGCCAUUAUGUCCCGGCCUUAGGGCCCCCACGUCCCAGGUUUUAGGGCCCCCAUGUCCCAACCUUAGGGCCACCACAUCCCAGGUUUUAGGCCAUUAUGUCUCGAGCUUUAGGGCCCCCAUGCCCCAACCUUAGGGCCACCACUUCCCAGGUUUCAGGGCCCCCACAUCCCAGGUUUAAGGGCCACCAUGUCCUGAAUUUCAGGACCACCACGUCCCAGGUUUUAGGCCCUUAUGUCCCGAGCUUUAGGGCCCCCAUGUCCCAACCUUAGGGCCCCCAUGUCCCAGGUUUUAGGGCCUCCAUGUCCCGAAUUUCAGGGCCACCAUGUCUCAGGUUUUAGGGCCCCCAUGUCCCAACCAUAGGGCCACCAUGUCCCAGGUUCUAGGCCAUUAUGUCCCGAGCUUUAGGGCCCCCAUGUCCCAGGUUUUAGGGCACCAUGUCCCGAAUUUCAGGACCACCACGUCCCAGGUUUUAGGGCCACCAUGUCCUGAAUUUCAGAGCCCCCACGUCCCAACCUUAGGGCCCCCACAUCCCAGGUUUCAGGGCCACCAUGUCCUGAAUUUCAG
This 796-nucleotide long non-coding RNA is filed under the name Numida meleagris (helmeted guineafowl). Its description in RNAcentral is "lncRNA (ENSNMEG00000002735.1)". Lineage: Eukaryota; Metazoa; Chordata; Aves; Galliformes; Numididae. The record is from RNAcentral.